This 75-nucleotide transfer RNA is filed under the name Candidatus Doudnaibacteriota bacterium. Its description in RNAcentral is "Candidatus Doudnabacteria bacterium tRNA-Arg". It matches the Rfam family "tRNA". From Rfam's summary of the family: Transfer RNA (tRNA) molecules are approximately 80 nucleotides in length. Their secondary structure includes four short double-helical elements and three loops (D, anti-codon, and T loops). Lineage: Bacteria; Candidatus Doudnaibacteriota. The record is from RNAcentral.
GCCUUCGUAGCUCAAUGGAUAGAGCAAAUCCGUCCUAAGGAUGAGAUGUAGGUUCGAUUCCUGCCGAGGGCACCA